ACGAACGCUGGCGGCGUGCCUAAUACAUGCCAGUUGAGCGCUGAAGGUUGGUACUUGUACCGACUGGAUGAGCAGCGAACGGGUGAGUAACGCGUGGGGAAUCUGCCUUUGAGCGGGGGACAACAUUUGGAAACGAAUGCUAAUACCGCAUAAAAACUUUAAACACAAGUUUUAAGUUUGAAAGAUGCAAUUGCAUCACUCAAAGAUGAUCCCGCGUUGUAUUAGCUAGUUGGUGAGGUAAAGGCUCACCAAGGCGAUGAUACAUAGCCGACCUGAGAGGGUGAUCGGCCACAUUGGGAAUGAGACACGGCCCAAACUCCUACGGGAGGCAGCAGUAGGGAAUCUUCGGCAAUGGACGAAAGUCUGACCGAGCAACGCCGCGGGAGUGAAGAAGGUUUUCGGAUCGUAAAACUCUGUUGGUAGAGAAGAACGUUGGUGAGAGUGGAAAGCUCAUCAAGUGACGGUAACUACCCAGAAAGGGACGGCUAACUACGUG
This 496-nucleotide ribosomal RNA is filed under the name uncultured bacterium. Its description in RNAcentral is "partial 16S ribosomal RNA". It matches the Rfam family "Bacterial small subunit ribosomal RNA", at positions 29 to 507 of the family's 1533-position model. The record is from RNAcentral.